CUACCCCAGGUCAGGUGGGACUACCCGCUGAGUUUAAGCAUAUCAAUAA
RNAcentral lists this ribosomal RNA (49 nucleotides) under Senecio calocephalus. Its description in RNAcentral is "partial 25S ribosomal RNA". The record is from RNAcentral. Lineage: Eukaryota; Viridiplantae; Streptophyta; Magnoliopsida; Asterales; Asteraceae.